GACGAACGCUGGCGGCGUGCUUAACACAUGCAAGUCGAACGGAAAGGCCCUGCUUUUGUGGGGUGCUCGAGUGGCGAACGGGUGAGUAACACGUGAGUAACCUGCCCUUGACUUUGGGAUAACUUCAGGAAACUGGGGCUAAUACCGGAUAGGAGCUCCUGCUGCAUGGUGGGGGUUGGAAAGUUUCGGCGGUUGGGGAUGGACUCGCGGCUUAUCAGCUUGUUGGUGGGGUAGUGGCUUACCAAGGCUUUGACGGGUAGCCGGCCUGAGAGGGUGACCGGCCACGUUGGGACGGAGAUACGGCCCAGACUCCUACGGGAGGCAGCAGUGGGGAAUAUUGCACAAUGGGAGGAAGGCUGAUGCAGCAACGCCGCGUGCGGGAUGACGGCCUUCGGGUUGGAAACCGCUUUCGCCUGUGACGAAGCGUGAGUGACGGUAAUGGGUAAAGAAGCACCGGCUAACUACGUG
Molecule: ribosomal RNA, 468 nt
Filed under: uncultured bacterium
Lineage: Bacteria
Description: partial 16S ribosomal RNA
Rfam family: Bacterial small subunit ribosomal RNA
Source: RNAcentral